Molecule: ribosomal RNA, 463 nt
Filed under: uncultured bacterium
Lineage: Bacteria
Description: partial 16S ribosomal RNA
Rfam family: Bacterial small subunit ribosomal RNA
Source: RNAcentral
CUACGGGAGGCUGCAGCUAAGAAUCUUCCGCAAUGGGCGCAAGCCUGACGGAGCGACGCCGCGUGGACGGAGAAUGCCGAGAGGUUGUAAAGUCCUUUUAUUUGCGAAGAAUAAUAUCUAUAGGUAAUGAUAGAUAGAUGACGUUAGCUUAUGAAUAAGCUCCGGCCAAUUACGUGCCAGCAGCCGCGGUAACACGUAAGGAGCGAGCGUUGUUCGGAAUUAUUGGGCGUAAAGGGCAUGUAGGCGGUUUUGUAAGUCUGGUGUGAAAGACCACAGCUUAACUGUGGGGACGCACUGGAACUGUGAGACUAGAAUCAGUGAGGGGUAACCGGAAUUACUAGUGUAGGGGUGAAAUCUGUUGAUAUUAGGAAGAACACCGAUGGCGAAGGCAGGUUACUGGCGCAUGAUUGACGCUGAUGUGCGAAAGCGUAGGGAGCGAACAGGAUUAGAUACCCCAGUAGUC